This 430-nucleotide ribosomal RNA is filed under the name uncultured bacterium. Its description in RNAcentral is "bacterial SSU rRNA". It matches the Rfam family "Bacterial small subunit ribosomal RNA", at positions 354 to 796 of the family's 1533-position model. The record is from RNAcentral. RNAcentral also lists the same sequence under 1 other name.
GUGGGGAAUAUUGCACAAUGGGCGAAAGCCUGAUGCAGCGACGCCGCGUGGGGGAUGACGGCCUUCGGGUUGUAAACCCCUUUCAGUAGGGAAGAAGCGAGAGUGACGGUACCUGCAGAAGAAGCGCCGGCUAACUACGUGCCAGCAGCCGCGGUAAUACGUAGGGCGCAAGCGUUGUCCGGAAUUAUUGGGCGUAAAGAGCUUGUAGGUGGCUUGUCGCGUCUGCCGUGAAAACCCGAGGCUCAACCUCGGGCGUGCGGUGGGUACGGGCAGGCUAGAGUGUGGUAGGGGAGACUGGAACUCCUGGUGUAGCGGUGAAAUGCGCAGAUAUCAGGAAGAACACCGAUGGCGAAGGCAGGUCUCUGGGCCAUUACUGACACUGAGAAGCGAAAGCAUGGGUAGCGAACAGGAUUAGAAACCCUAGUAGUCC